This 497-nucleotide ribosomal RNA is filed under the name uncultured bacterium. Its description in RNAcentral is "partial 16S ribosomal RNA". It matches the Rfam family "Bacterial small subunit ribosomal RNA", at positions 28 to 507 of the family's 1533-position model. The record is from RNAcentral.
GAUGAACGCUGGCGGCGUGCCUAAUACAUGCAAGUCGAGCGAACGGACGAGAAGCUUGCUUCUCUGAUGUUAGCGGCGGACGGGUGAGUAACACGUGGAUAACCUACCUAUAAGACUGGGAUAACUUCGGGAAACCGGAGCUAAUACCGGAUAAUAUUUUGAACCGCAUGGUUCAAAAGUGAAAGACGGUCUUGCUGUCACUUAUAGAUGGAUCCGCGCUGCAUUAGCUAGUUGGUAAGGUAGCGGCUUACCAAGGCAACGAUGCAUAGCCGACCUGAGAGGGUGAUCGGCCACACUGGAACUGAGACACGGUCCAGACUCCUACGGGAGGCAGCAGUAGGGAAUCUUCCGCAAUGGGCGAAAGCCUGACGGAGCAGCGCCGCGUGAGUGAUGAAGGUCUUCGGAUCGUAAAACUCUGUUAUUAGGGAAGAACAUAUGUGUAAGUAACUGUGCACAUCUUGACGGUACCUAAUCAGAAAGCCACGGCUAACUACGUG